UUCGAAUCCCUCUCUUUCCG
This 20-nucleotide transfer RNA is filed under the name Australopyrum retrofractum. RNAcentral's name for it is "partial tRNA-Ser". The record is from RNAcentral. RNAcentral also lists the same sequence under 1 other name. Lineage: Eukaryota; Viridiplantae; Streptophyta; Magnoliopsida; Poales; Poaceae.